UGCGGCUACAUGCAAGUCGAACGGAUGAACACGGUAGCCUUGCUCUGUGGGAUCAGAUGGCGAACGGGUGAGUAACACGUGAGCAACCUGCCCCUGACUCUGGGAUAAGCGCUGGAAACGGCGUCUAAUACUGGAUAUGUGACGUGACCGCAUGGUCUGCGUCUGGAAAGAAUUUCGGUUGGGGAUGGGCUCGCGGCCUAUCAGCUUGUUGGUGAGGUAAUGGCUCACCAAGGCGUCGACGGGUAGCCGGCCUGAGAGGGUGACCGGCCACACUGGGACUGAGACACGGCCCAGACUCCUACGGGAGGCAGCAGUGGGGAAUAUUGCACAAUGGGCGCAAGCCUGAUGCAGCAACGCCGCGUGAGGGACGACGGCCUUCGGGUUGUAAACCUCUUUUAGCAGGGAAGAAGCGAAAGUGACGGUACCUGCAGAAAAAGCGCCGGCUAACUACGUGCCAGCAGCCGCGGUAAUACGUAGGGCGCAAGCGUUAUCCGGAAUUAUUGGGCGUAAAGAGCUCGUAGGCGGUUUGUCGCGUCUGCUGUGAAAUCCGGAGGCUCAACCUCCGGCCUGCAGUGGGUACGGGCAGACUAGAGUGCGGUAGGGGAGAUUGGAAUUCCUGGUGUAGCGGUGGAAUGCGCAGAUAUCAGGAGGAACACCGAUGGCGAAGGCAGAUCUCUGGGCCGUAACUGACGCUGAGGAGCGAAAGGGUGGGGAGCAAACAGGCUUAGAUACCCUGGUAGUCCACCCCGUAAACGUUGGGAACUAGUUGUGGGGUCCAUUCCACGGAUUCCGUGACGCACUAACGCAUUAAGUUCCCCGCCUGGGGAGUACGGCCGCAAGGCUAAAACUCAAAGGAAUUGACGGGGACCCGCACAAGCGGCGACAUGCGGAUUAUUCAUGCAACGCGAAAACCUUACCAGGCUUGACAUAUACGAAACGGGCCAAAAAAUGGUCACUCUUUGGACACUCGUAAACAGGUGGUGCAUGGUUGUCUCACUCUGUCGUGAAAUGUUGGGUUAAUCCCCCAACAGCCACCCUUUUUUUUUUGCCACCCUAAUGGGGGGAAUCUGGAUACCGCCGGGGUCACCG
Molecule: ribosomal RNA, 1089 nt
Filed under: Microbacterium sp. EP32
Lineage: Bacteria; Bacillati; Actinomycetota; Actinomycetes; Micrococcales; Microbacteriaceae
Description: bacterial SSU rRNA
Rfam family: Bacterial small subunit ribosomal RNA
Source: RNAcentral